GAUGAACGCUGGCGGCGUGCCUAACACAUGCAAGUCGAGCGAACAGACGAGGAGCUUGCUCCUCUGACGUUAGCGGCGGACGGGCGAGUAACACGUGGAUAACCUACCUAUAAGACUGGGAUAACUUCGGGAAACCGGAGCUAAUACCGGAUAAUAUAUUGAACCGCAUGGUUCAAUAGUGAAAGACGGUUUUGCCGUCACUUAUAGAUGGAUCCGCGCCGCAUUAGCUAGUUGGUAAGGUAACGGCUUACCAAGGCAACGAUGCGUAGCCGACCUGAGAGGGUGAUCGGCCACACUGGAACUGAGACACGGUCCAGACUCCUACGGGAGGCAGCAGUAGGGAAUCUUCCGCAAUGGGCGAAAGCCUGACGGAGCAACGCCGCGUGAGUGAUGAAGGUCUUCGGAUCGUAAAGCUCUGUUAUUAGGGAAGAACAAAUGUGUAAGUAACUAUGCACGUCUUGACGGUACCUAAUCAGAAAGCCACGGCUAACUACGUG
This 497-nucleotide ribosomal RNA is filed under the name uncultured bacterium. RNAcentral describes it as "partial 16S ribosomal RNA". It matches the Rfam family "Bacterial small subunit ribosomal RNA", at positions 28 to 507 of the family's 1533-position model. The record is from RNAcentral.